UGGGUAGUCCGUACGAGCGCACCCUAUCCUUAGUUGCCAGCGAGUUGUCGGGAACUCUAGGGAGACUGCCGGUGACAAACCGGAGGAAGGUGGGGAUGACGUCAAGUCAUCAUGGCCCUUAUGGGCAGGGCUACACACGUGCUACAAUGGCCGGUACAGAGGGCUGCGAAGCCGCGAGGCGGAGCGAAUCUCAGAAAACCGGUCGUAGUCCGGAUUGCAGUCUGCAACUCGACUGCAUGAAGUCGGAAUCGCUAGUAAUCGCGGAUCAGAACGCCGCGGUGAAUACGUUCCCGGGCCUUGUACACACCGCCCGUCACACCAUGGGAGUGGGCUGUACCAGAAGUAGGUAGUCUAACCUUCGGGAGGACGCUUACCACGGUGUGGUUCAUGACUGGGGUGAAGUCGUAACAAGGUAGCCCUAGGGGAACCUGGGGCUGGAUCACCUCCUUU
This 450-nucleotide ribosomal RNA is filed under the name uncultured Thiotrichales bacterium. Its description in RNAcentral is "bacterial SSU rRNA". It matches the Rfam family "Bacterial small subunit ribosomal RNA", at positions 1077 to 1533 of the family's 1533-position model. Lineage: Bacteria; Pseudomonadati; Pseudomonadota; Gammaproteobacteria; Thiotrichales. The record is from RNAcentral.